UCCUGUGUCAGUAAUGGUUUGGACCAAUUAUCUGUUCAAGAUCGCCGGAAUAAGUUUGAUGAGAGCAGCGUAAGACCGAUCGUCGUGGACAUCUUUGGGAUAAAUGCGGUAGAAGACACAAAUUGAAACGACAUCUAAGCUACACAACGCCAAGAGAUUAAGGGAUUCAGAAGAACUGGAACCCGAUAUCUCAACCUUAUGCUAACAUCAAAAGAAAUUGGAGAAAAUGCAUGACGUUUCAGGUUUUAGGAAGGAGAUAAUAGCAGAAGGCCUGUUGUUUGCCGGAUCCGAGCUGUCACUGUGAAAAUCGGAUAGACAGCCUAAGUAAAGUCUGAACAAAGUCUAAGUACGCUCUAUUGAUCUCAUCCUUAGUGCAAAUGCGGAACAAGCUCAAUGGUAUAAUUGCAAUCGGCCUGCUCAACUUCUGAACUUCCUAGGAAUACAGAGCUCAAAGAACAGUUUUCUGUCUGAAUCGUACUUCCGACAUAGAGCUCUGAACUGCGGCUUGGACGGCGAUGUCACCUCAGCCCUUGACAACAACCGAACAAUAUCGUGGCUUUAUCAUUUAUAACACUGUUUUAAUUAAU
Leptidea sinapis is the source of this 587-nucleotide long non-coding RNA. RefSeq lists it as uncharacterized. Lineage: Eukaryota; Metazoa; Arthropoda; Insecta; Lepidoptera; Pieridae. The record is from RefSeq and is a predicted model, not a curated record. The transcript has 3 exons.